GCUGAUCUUGAACUCCCGACCUCAGGUGAUCCACCCGCCUGGACCUCCGAAAGUGCUGGGAUUACAGGCAUGAGCCACCACGCCCAGCCCAAAUGCUGUUUUAAAGGUCAUCAUGUCUCCUGGGUUCCCUAACAAAGACAGUCCAGCUUUUUCCUGGCAUUACCUGGACCACCUGGUGCCAUGCCACCU
RNAcentral lists this non-coding RNA (189 nucleotides) under Pan troglodytes (chimpanzee). Lineage: Eukaryota; Metazoa; Chordata; Mammalia; Primates; Hominidae. The record is from RNAcentral.